Long non-coding RNA from Astatotilapia calliptera (eastern happy), 1704 nucleotides. The record is from Ensembl. Lineage: Eukaryota; Metazoa; Chordata; Actinopteri; Cichliformes; Cichlidae.
AAAAAGACUUUCACUAAACAAGACAAGACACACCACGAUGAGUACUCAAAGCAGGUCUGUGAAACGUCUAGAGGAGGAACUGAAUUCAGUCAUACAGAGUUUGGCUGAGAUGGGAAAAAAACUUCAUCAGGCAAAUAUGGUGAUGAACCAUCAAAAGGAGGAACUGAAUUCAGUCAUAGAGAGGUCUGUGAAACGUCUAGAGGAGGAACUGAAUCCAUUCAUACAGAGUUUGGGUGAAAUGGAAGAAGUUUACAAAGUGAACCUCAAACAACCAGGUUUGGCUGAAAUGGAAAAGUUUUACAAACAGAAACUCCAAGAAGAAAGAUCUGCACAUGAAAAAACUAAAGAAGAGUAUAAAUCAUUCAAAGACAGAAUGGCAGGGGAGGUUGAUCUUACACUAAAGACGGGGAACUCUGAAAACAUGAACAACCCAGUGAAUGAAACCAGACUGAAAGAGAUGUAUAAAGAGCUGAGGAAGGACUGGGCUAGAAUCAAGCCUGAAAUGAAGCAGGCCGCUCAGAGCGACGCAGAGCAAAUCAAAGUUGGCAUUCAGCGCAACUUUCAAUAUGGGGCAAAGCGAAUAGAGCAGAAGAAGAAAGAGAUAGAGUCAGUAUUUAACCUUAAUGCGGACAGCACUGAAGCAUCUCAGAAGGUUCAUGAAUACACAAAGUUAACCAUUCAGAACCUUCAGCUUGCUGUUUACUACAGUUUCAAAGGCACUGCUGCUCAGGGGUUCCACGGACAGGAAGGUGAAACUCAUAGCUUCAAUAAGCUUACCCAGAAGUGCAGCUGGCUGAGCAGCUUAUUGGUGCUGAACAAUCCCCCUCUUCAGCCUGACUGGAAAAAUCAUGAUCCAGGGCAAGAUGCUUGGAACGUUUUCCCACAAGAGAUCACAGCUGAAUCUGCCACAUCACUCUGCCAGGACCCCUCUGAAAAUGUUGUUGGAUAUAGUUGGACAUCCCAGCAUCCAGACGUGAACCAGAGUGAAGAUAAUAUGAUGACGUGAGUUCCAACCAAGCAUGUCUUUUAUCAUGUCUUCAUUCUCUUACCACAACCGGUCGCUGAAGAUGGCCCCGCCCCUCCCUGAGUCUGGUUCUGCCGGAGGUUUCUUUUUUCCCUUCCCACUUCUCCCAAAGUGCUUGCUAUAUGGGACGUAUGAUUGUUGGGUUUUUCUUUGUAUGUAUUAUUGUAGGGUCUACCUUACAAUAUAAGGCAAAUGCUGUUGUGAUUUGAUGCAGUAUAAAUAAAACUGAAUUGAACAUGAACUCCUGUCCCCCUCUGUUGACACGGCCCCAUGAGCUCCCUGCAUCACCUCGCCACUGCAGCAGGCCAGAAGCCACAAGUUCAAAAAAAAAAUUCCCUUAACUGACAGUAGCACUACCUUUGUCAAAGUGGAGGGUGUAGUUUGGUAACACAAUCUGUCCUCAGGUUGGGUAUUGUUAUAUUUGAAAUUAUCUUUUGCUCAUUAUUUCCUCAACUUUUAAACAGCAAGGAUUAACUGAAGAGAAAACUGCUGUAUAUGAAUAAAGUUGAAUAGAAAACAAGUGUUUAUUCAGCUUUUGCCGUUAAAGGAACUUAAGUCAAAUAAACAUUAUGACUACAACUAGUCAGGGACUCAAAAUGGAGAGCAGAGGAGAGUCCGGUCAUGAUAAGUUAGGCAAAUCAGUCCCACAUAUCUUAGUAAAAUACAAAUGAUUUGAAUUU